Long non-coding RNA from Syngnathoides biaculeatus (alligator pipefish), 3040 nucleotides. RefSeq lists it as uncharacterized. Lineage: Eukaryota; Metazoa; Chordata; Actinopteri; Syngnathiformes; Syngnathidae. The record is from RefSeq and is a predicted model, not a curated record. The transcript has 4 exons.
UUUGGAUCUUGGUUGCACUUGCCCAUGCUGUCUUCAUGGACAAAGGCCUCUGUUUUCCAGGUGGGGUUGAACAAUGGGAGUCCACUGUUGUACCAAAAAAGGUCUGUCAGCAGAGACCAAACUGAUUAAUUCUAUUUUAAUGAUUAUUGAAUAGUUUGGUUCUUGAAACUAAAUGAUUUUAAAUUGAACUGCAGCAAGUCAUUACUUCAACCUAAAAUUCCUGUUCUGUAAAUUCUCACAUUGAGCACAGGCACAUGCAAACAACUUGAAUUCGACAGGACUGUUUAAAAAAAAACAAUAGCCAACUUGUAUUUUUUAAAUCAGUCUUUUCUUGGAUUUAUCCAUGGUUUAUCUGCCAGGAGUCGAAUAGCUCUUACCUUGCCGCCAGGUGCUGCACAUCGACUGCUGGCCAUUUGUAUUUUCCAUGAGAAAGAAAAACAGUUCACACUAAAAUCUAAAAAAAUUGAAUAAGAGUUGGAAAACUAAGUCGGAGAACCACAGAAUUCAUACCACAGCACCUCCUCUGACAUGCUGAGAAUCACUGAGCUGAAGGCUGCCAGCAAAGCUACCUUGGCAUCCAUAACACCUCAGCGAUGUCACAGGUUAAUCACAUCCAUGGCACACGACAAUGUUUCAUGAAUGGAUAAUUCAAAAGUAGUGUAGCAACACAUUUAGACGGACAACAUAGUACUGGAUUGCUUUCCUCAGGGAAAAAUAAUUACUGCAGUUACUGAGUCACCACAUUAUUUUUGAAAGACUUCCUCAUUCACGACUUCAUAAUGCUGUUGUGCCCCUGGUACCUUCUUUAAAUUCUUUCCAAUACAAAUAUUUUGAAUUAUGGAGUACAGUGGGGGAAUCGGUCGAGCUGUCUACUUCACAGCUCAGAAGACCAGGGUUCAAAUCCCGGCACAGCGUUUCCAUGUUCUCCCCGUGCCUGUGUCGUUUUUCUCCAGGCACUCUUGUUUUCUCCCACAUCCCAAAAACAUGCAACAUUAAUUAAAAAAAAAAAAUUGCUCCUUGGUGUGAUUGUGAGUGAGACCGAUGUCAGUCUUCAUGUGCCCUGCUAUUGGCUUUCAACCAGUUCAGGGUUUAACCCGCCUCCUGCCCGUUGACAGCUGGGAUAGGCUCGAGAACUCCAGCAGAUAAGCAACUCAGAAAAUGGAUGGAUUGAUCUUUUAAAGUACAUUUGCAAAUCUUUGUAACCUAUUUCCACCACAGGACAAACCAGAAGUAACUACAGGAACAAGCAACAGACUUCACACAAGUUUGAACCUGACCCCUAAACUGUAACUGUGAGUUACACAAGCUAAACACUGGAGUACCCUAUUUUCCCAAAGAUUUUCAAAAAUCAUAAAAAUAGCCACAAUUGUAUUCAGUAGUUUUCAUCCAGUUGUGACCAAAUACAGCAUCCAGGCCUUUUUUGCACUGGGGCACAGCUGGAGGUAAUUGGAAGCGAUUAGCACCAGCUGUGAUUACUUUUCACCUGCUAUAAAAGCUCGGCUGGUCGCUAUCCUUCACAUCUGUCGCUGGCACAAUGGCUGAUGUUUGGGCCUUUGUGCUGCUUGGUCAUCCUGUCUUCAUGGACAAAGGCCAUUGUUUUCCAGGUGGGGUGAAACAAGAAGGGUCCAGAGACCAUAUUGAUCAAUUACAUGUUAGUAAUAAGUUUUUUUUUGUUGUUGUUUUUUUUUAUUUAUUUUUGCUACAGAUGUAUCUCAUGAUUGUUUCACUUACGAGACGUGUUAAACUCAUUGAUUCUUUGGAUUCUACAUUGACACUACACACUCCAGGUGAGACUGUUGGAUGACUUGGGGUCAUUUGAGCCAAACCAUACUUAACAGAUCUCACUUGUCACCACCAAAUAAAUAAAACUAGCAAGAUAGCAUUGGUCUUAUACCAAUGUGGACCUGUUUAGUUGUGAACUAUAACUAACUUAAAAAUUCCAUUUUUUUUUUUAUUUAUAUUUUAUAAAGUUACCUGUACUUCAGGGGCCUUGUCAGUUUUUGUUUUUUUUUUUUUUUAAUAAAUUGCCCAGAAAAAAUGGUCAACAUGGUUCUUUAACCUAACUUUCUGCUUAAAGGUAGCAAGAAUUUUUUUUUUUUUUUUUCUGCUCAAAUACUUGGUUCAUAACUGCUUCCACACCCGACUUCAUGUGAUUUAUAGAUUGGUAAUUAUACAAUGUGCUUAUCAAUGGCAUAUAUUUAAGACUAGUCUAUUUUAGUACCCCUUCAAUUCGGUUCAAUGAUAACUAAUGUAGCUUUUUGACAAGCCCAACCUGCAACCAAAGAGGUGAGCGGCAAGGGCCAACUGCACGACACGUUGAAGAUAACGUGAGCGGCAAGGGCCAACAGCACGACGCCUUGAGCUACAAGGUGAGUGGCAAGGGCCAACCGCAUGACCAACAGAGCAACAACAUGACCAAGGGUCAGCAUAAUGACUUUCAGCAGGUCCAGCAGAGUGUCAACCAAAACACCACAAUGAGCCACAACCAACAGCAUGAGUUCUUUCAACAACUCCAGAGUGUCACACUGGAUGAUGACCUCACUAAAGGCUUCAUUGUGAAUAUUUGAGGUGUACAGCAUGAAAGAGCUGUUUUAUGCAUCUUGUCUGACAAUAAUUUAAAUUCUUAACCGCACCAUAUUGUUUUUGAAAAUGGAACUGUUUUGUUCAGCGGUCUUAAAAUCCUUGCAUAACUCACUGCAAUGAUUCGAUGUAGUUAAGGUUAGUGCUUGUCACGAGGUCACGUAGCCAACUGUUGUAUUACGACAAAGUUGACUUCACAAUUUCAAUUGAUCCCAAUCUAUGGCAUGGAUUAGGCCCUACAGAGUGUUAUUGCACUUAGUCUAUAAAGUUGCAUGCUGAUCAAACUUUGUAUGACACUAUAGGCAUAGUGCUAAUUUUGGGUUAUUGCAAGUUGGAAGUGGGCUGAAAUCAGUUUAACAAUUUGAGAGCUGCUUGUAUAAUUUAUUUAAAACCCUUCCACUCACCACAGACUCUUUUUGAAAGUUAUCCACACCAAGGAUGUACAGGUGAAUCAAUUUAA